CUACGGGAUGCUCCAGUGGGGAAUAUUGCGCAAUGGGCGAAAGCCUGACGCAGCAACGCCGCGUGAGGGAUGAAGGCCUUCGGGUUGUAAACCUCUUUCAGCAGGGAAGAAGCGAAAGUGACGGUACCUGCAGAAGAAGCACCGGCUAACUACGUGCCAGCAGCCGCGGUAAUACGUAGGGUGCAAGCGUUGUCCGGAUUUAUUGGGCGUAAAGAGCUCGUAGGCGGUUAGUCACGUCGGAUGUGAAAAUCCAAGGCUUAACCUUGGACCUGCAUUCGAUACGGGCUGACUAGAGUGUUGUAGGGGAGACUGGAACUCCUGGUGUAGCGGUGAAAUGCGCAGAUAUCAGGAAGAACACCGAUGGCGAAGGCAGGUCUCUGGGCAACUACUGACGCUGAGGAGCGAAAGCGUGGGGAGCAAACAGGAUUAGAUACCCGUGUAGUC
Molecule: ribosomal RNA, 444 nt
Filed under: uncultured bacterium
Lineage: Bacteria
Description: partial 16S ribosomal RNA
Rfam family: Bacterial small subunit ribosomal RNA
Source: RNAcentral